GAUGAACGCUGGCGGCGUGCCUAAUACAUGCAAGUCGAGCGAACAGACGAGGAGCUUGCUCCUCUGACGUUAGCGGCGGACGGGUGAGUAACACGUGGAUAACCUACCUAUAAGACUGGGAUAACUUCGGGAAACCGGAGCUAAUACCGGAUAAUAUAUUGAACCGCAUGGUUCAAUAGUGAAAGACGGUUUUGCUGUCACUUAUAGAUGGAUCCGCGCCGCAUUAGCUAGUUGGUAAGGUAACGGCUUACCAAGGCAACGAAGCGUAGCCGACCUGAGAGGGUGAUCGGCCACACUGGAACUGAGACACGGUCCAGACUCCUACGGGAGGCAGCAGUAGGGAAUCUUCCGCAAUGGGCGAAAGCCUGACGGAGCAACGCCGCGUGAGUGAUGAAGGUCUUCGGAUCGUAAAACUCUGUUAUUAGGGAAGAACAAAUGUGUAAGUAACUAUGCACGUCUUGACGGUACCUAAUCAGAAAGCCACGGCUAACUACGUG
RNAcentral lists this ribosomal RNA (497 nucleotides) under uncultured bacterium. RNAcentral describes it as "partial 16S ribosomal RNA". It matches the Rfam family "Bacterial small subunit ribosomal RNA", at positions 28 to 507 of the family's 1533-position model. The record is from RNAcentral.